RNA transcript from Hemicordylus capensis (graceful crag lizard), 3818 nucleotides. It is a transcript of the gene named SLAM family member 6-like, with no coding region annotated. The transcript has 6 exons. The record is from RefSeq and is a predicted model, not a curated record. NCBI's taxonomy places the organism in Eukaryota, Metazoa, Chordata, Lepidosauria, Squamata, Cordylidae.
GGGCUGAGAGAAAGUGUACUCCCCCGCCACCCGGUUCCAGCCAGCAGCCAGCAGUUCCUCUCUGAGCAGACUGCAAACAAGAGAUCGCCGUGAUGAUGAACGUUGCUGGCAGAAGCCUCCCAACCCCGCUUCUCCAGAUCCCUCUGGUGUUUGGAACAUUCAUCGCCCCGUUCUGUGGGUCUCUCUGAAUCCCUUCUUCUUUCCACACACCUCUUAGUACUGUGCUGAGUUCUGCAGUGCCUACUCCAUGGGAAAGAUGGCUGCUUUCCCACACACACUGCAGGCAUUGUUAGUAGUUCAGCAGAGAAUCCUCCCCGACGGGUGAAUGGGAUCAUUGGAGGAUCAGCCUCCCUCCCUUUAAAUAUAUCCUCAACAAAUGCGGUGAUAGAAAUUGAGUGGAUGUUUCAAACCAAAGACAGUGGCACACUCCUAAUUGCGGAAUUCAGGAAAGGAGAAUUACAGAGGCCUGAUCCGAGUGACCGGUUUGGGAAGCGUCUGGAGAUGGCCAACGAAACCACGCUGAGAAUCUUGAACCUGGAGAUGGAGGACCGUGGACUGUACAAGGCGCGGGCAAAACUGACUGCCUCAGAAGCGGAAGACCACGCUUUCAGCCUCGCAGUCUAUGAUCAAAUACAAGAUGUACAGAUACUUCACCGAUUGGUCUCGAGCACUCCAGAGGGAUGCAAUGUGACCUUGCAGUGUCAUUCAUCUGGAAAGGGUGAACUUAAUUUCUGCUGGAAAGGAGGGGAAACAUCCAGGGCCCUGGAAAAUGGUUCAGACUGGUACAGGCUCUCUGAGAAUGGUACAGCUCUCCACUUGUUCUGGCAGCCCAACCCUUCAGACUCCAUCAUCACCUGCUUCAUUAGCAACCCUGUUGAUCAGAAGAUGGUCUCGGUCAGCUUGCUCAGCAUCUGCCCAAACAGAGAUGAAAUUCGAUCCAGAAAGCCUUGGCAUUGGGGUGCCACUCUGGCUAUUUCAAUGAUUCUCCUCCUGGCUGCAGGUUUCGGAAUAUGGGUGUGGAAGAAAAAAAGGAAAACACCAAGAGAUCAAGCAUACUGAAGUCAUAUGGAGUCCCUGCAAAGGAGUCUCUUCAUACUGUGAUCAUACACUUGUUAUCUGUUUCGUGUGGCCUAUGCUGAGUUGGUCUCAUCUUGCUCAUGCACAAGACUCGGCACUACAUUUGACUCCACGCUACAGGAAGACCAAAAUUAUGCUUGCUUGCUUGCUGCCUCGACGUGUUCAAAAAUAAAAGCACAUCCAAAGAGCCUUGCUUUGGGAAUUAGCCCAAGAGCCAUCUCGUCCGGUAUCCAUAUUUCCCACAGUUACCCAUCCAGAUGCUACAGGGACAGGAGGGGAAGGCUGAUAGCGCUGCUCUCUUCUCCAGAAGCCGCUUGUCAGAGGUAGACUGCAUCUCAACAUGGGAGUUCUGUUUAGCUAAUAUGACUAAUAACCAUUGAUUUUGUUUUUUGUUUUAAUGGAAGCUUCCUUGGUCCAAAAGGUGUGUGUGUGUGUGUACAUGCAUGUGGCAAUAUACAGUGUGUGCGCGCACACACACACACACACACACACACGUUUCCUUUUAACUGUGCUGGAGUAUAAGGAAAGGCAAUAAUCAAAAAAGCCGUGUGUGUGUUUUUAAAAGAGAUACGUCUCAAAAGAGUAAAUAUUUUCCUGGCUCGAGAUGCUUUAUCAGCUUUCCAAAAUACUACUUUUGCAAAACAACCAGAAUGAAAUAGUAUUUGAAUAACAGAGUGUAACUAAGGGUCAGCUCAUCUUUAUUAGGAACAAGGUAUGCUGCCAGCACAGACUACGCUAAUGAGAUAUUUAUGCUUUUAAAACCCAUUUCUUUGUUCCUACGCCUUUGCAAUGGGGCUGUGUCUGUUUGUAGAGCUGGUUCCCAGCAGAGCUGGUGACUGGCCUGCCAGCUAGCUUAACCAGAGGGGCACCUAAUGAGAUGGGCCAGCAGCAAAGAAGAGUCAAUAAGCCAAUAAGGCAGGAGUCAGACAGAGAAGCAGGCAGGCAGAGUUGGACUCCCAGGGAGUUAUUCCUACAUGGCUUCAUGCUGUGGGGUAAAUGUUGAGUGAAGCCACUUCGAAUCACACUCGAUGUUUUCAGAAAAAGUGGCUUAAAACCAGCAUUUUAAAAACCCAGAAAAACACCAAGUUAGAAUUUGCAAGACAAAGCCCAAUCUGUGUGAAGUGGGUCCAAGGAUCUCGAAGGGACUUCGGGGUAAGUUUGGCUGGUGUGUGAACACACACGCUCUCUCCCGAAGGAGAUUCAGGGUAGAAGGUCUGUAAAUGCCUCCAGAAGGAGCUGUUAAUCCAGCAACAGAUACGCAGGAACUGAGAGCUCUUUUGGUCUUAGGGCUGCUCAGCGUUGUCCCUCCAGCCAUUUUGGGACUACAAUUCCCAUAAUCCCCAGCCACAGCAGUCAAUAGCCAGGGAUUGUGGGAAUUGUAGGCCAACAUCUGCAGGAGGCCCUGUGCCUAAGGAAGCCAGGCUCUGGGAGUGAUUCUGGGAGUCUGGAAGCGGCCGGCUUGGCCUGACCCACAGGGCAACAGGGCAUAUUCCCAGUGCAGCCCACUGCACUUGGCAGCAGUGAAUACUCCCACCCUUAAGAACCCAUUCUGCUCAACACCUGGCGCCCUCCCCACAUAUAUUCCACUGCCCUCUCAGGGUCCCCAGUCCAGCCCUGGGAAGCAGAAGCGGCCCCUCCGCUCUGCCAAGGGUGGAUUCCCCUCAUCCUCUGCGUCAGUCACCCCUCUCAGUCUGCGUUGAUGUCGGGGCCGAUCCUGACACAGGCAGGCUACAUUGACCAAUUAAAAAACCACAAAACCACAGCCUGCUCUCUAUCAAUCCCUUUUACAAGCCCAGCCCCUCUUUUCUGGCCUCAAUCUGGGAAGCCACUGUCCUGUUUUGUCUGUAUUGCUUCCUUUUGGAGAAGUUUGGGGUCUCUAGAAGGUCAAAGGUCUCGGGAUGUGGGGGGAACAGACACAAAAUGCCAGCUCGUGGCCUUCCUUCUAUUCCCCAGUCCCAUAAUAACCGAUCUGGCUACUGAAUGUUGUGAGAUGUCUUUUGUGCUGGAGUAUAUUAACCAGAUGCACCCUGACAGUAACCAUUCUUAAAAUGCUAUUUUAAAAGUAAACAAACUGUGUCACGUCUCAUUAUGGGAUAGCUUUUCUAAAUUACAGUGUCGAAGAAGUGACAGAGCAUGUUUACUCAGCGCCUGCCAACUGAGCAAAGAGGCACCUUUUUAAAGUGGUGAUUAUCUUGUAUUUAGCAGGGGGGAGAGCAACUGGCCCUGUCCAUCCCCAGCACAACACCCCUCCAGUGGCUGUUGCUGGUAUCUGCCUUAUGUUUCUUUUUGAAGACUGUAAGUCCUUUGGGGACAGGGAGUCAUUUUAUUUAUUUAUUUACAUCUCUGUAAACUGCUUUGGGAACUUUUGUUAAGAAGCGGAAUAUAAAUAUUUGUUGUAUCUGUAUAUUACACCACAUAAGGCAUGGAACCCUGCAGAUUCUUUGCUGCUACCUGGAAGAAAUUAUUUUAAAAGAGGACUUGGAACUGGCUACUCCCUUACUAUCCACAGUCAAGCUAUAUACUUCAGUACAUUAGAAAACUCACAGACAGUAUUAGUACUUUACUAUUACGCUGACCUGCCUGAGAAAUGAAAAAAAGAUUGUCUGUCGGGUAGGUUUACUGAAAAAUGGAUGUUAUUUAUUGGCUCCUAUAUAUUCUUGUCCAUUAUUUCCAUUUUUAUAAUUUUUUAUACUCUUUUGUAUGGUGGUCUGAAUGCAAAUAAAACCUUAUUUUGAACGGCA